UACGGAGGGUGCGAGCGUUGUUCGGAAUUAUUGGGCGUAAAGCGCGUGUAGGCGGUUUAUUAAGUCUGAUGUGAAAGCCCCGGGCUCAACCUGGGAAGUGCAUUGGAUACUGGUAGACUUGAAUACGGGAGAGGGUAGUGGAAUUCCGAGUGUAGGAGUGAAAUCCGUAGAUAUUCGGAGGAACACCGGUGGCGAAGGCGGCUGCCUGGACCGAUAUUGACGCUGAGACGCGAAAGCGUGGGUAG
Molecule: ribosomal RNA, 245 nt
Filed under: uncultured bacterium
Lineage: Bacteria
Description: partial 16S ribosomal RNA
Rfam family: Bacterial small subunit ribosomal RNA
Source: RNAcentral